AAGUCGUUACAAGGUUUCCGUAGGUGAACCUGCGGAAGGAUCAUUCAUAACAAGUGUUCUACUGCACUUUUUAAACAAGUACUCACCUUGUGUGAAAUGUUUGUGCUACACGCGUCGCGUCAGUGACGCGUCAUGCGCAUAAUACCAACUUUUUUAUUGCAAUUUUUUUGUCUGAAGCUAUUUUUGAAUGAAAUAAUUCUAAAUACAA
This 208-nucleotide unclassified non-coding RNA is filed under the name plant metagenome. Its description in RNAcentral is "partial contains small subunit ribosomal RNA and internal transcribed spacer 1". The stretch from base 1 to 46 matches the Rfam family "Eukaryotic small subunit ribosomal RNA", at positions 1786 to 1831 of the family's 1831-position model. The record is from RNAcentral.